UAUAAGUUGUUUUGACUUUUUUUAAAGUUAAUGUUUUUAGAUUUAACAUAGUUUCAACACAAAACAAAGAAACUAUCAAGAUAUUUUCAAUGUUGGAUGUAAUAAAACUAAAUUGGUGUUAUAAAUGAUACUAUAUUUUUUUAUAAUUUUGGUCAAACAUUCAAGAAGUUUGACUUUAAAAAAGUCAAAACGAUUUAUA
RNAcentral lists this microRNA precursor (199 nucleotides) under Oryza sativa Japonica Group (Japanese rice). RNAcentral's name for it is "mir-166 microRNA precursor". The record is from RNAcentral. Lineage: Eukaryota; Viridiplantae; Streptophyta; Magnoliopsida; Poales; Poaceae.